This is an RNA transcript of Helianthus annuus (common sunflower), 1397 nucleotides long. It is a transcript of the gene named probable aldo-keto reductase 4, with no coding region annotated. Lineage: Eukaryota; Viridiplantae; Streptophyta; Magnoliopsida; Asterales; Asteraceae. The transcript is spliced from 4 exons. The record is from RefSeq and is a predicted model, not a curated record.
AUCAGUACGUACAAGAAGAAAUUAAAUUUAAAACAAAGUUAGAUCGAAAAUGGCAAGCAGAAUACCAAGAAGGAAUUUGGGUUCACAGGGUUUAGAGGUCUCAGCUCUGGGUUUAGGCUGCAUGGGCAUGUCCGAUCUCUACGGAGCUCCCAAACCUGAACCCGACAUGAUCAAGCUCAUCCACCACGCCAUUAACGCUGGUGUUACCCUCCUUGACACCUCCGAUGUCUACGGCCCCAAAACCAACGAAAUCCUUCUCGGCAAGGCUUUGAAAGGGGGGAUGAGGGACAAAGUGCAGCUCGCUACCAAAUUUGGGAUCAAACUCGACGGUUCGUGGCAGGUCCAAGGAGAUCCAGCUUAUGUGAGGGCUGCUUGUGAGGCUAGCCUCAAGCGACUUGAGGUCGAUUGCAUUGAUAUCUAUUAUCAACACAGGAUUGAUACUAGUGUGCCAAUCGAAAUCACGAUGGGUGAAUUAAAGAAGUUGGUCGAAGAAGGUAAAAUUAAAUAUGUUGGAUUAUCAGAAGCAUCGGCAUCAACCAUUAGAAGAGCACACGCUGUGCAUCCAAUUACUGCCGUACAAAUGGAAUGGUCCUUGCAGUCAAGAGAUGUUGAAGAAGAAAUUAUUCCCACUUGCAGAGAACUUGGGAUAAGCAUUGUUACAUAUAGUCCUCUAGGACGUGGUUUUUUCUCACAUGGUCCAAAGAUGUUAGAUGUGACAACUCAGAAUUUCAAGGUUAGUGCCAGUUCGAUCGUGACCUUAAAUUCUCAUUAUUCAUUUCCAACGUUUCCUCUCAUGUUAAACUUGUUAGACGGUUGGGCCGAUUAUGCUUUUUGGCCAUUUAUAUCGUAUAUAUGUUUCAAACAACAUACACACAUUACAUUUGGGCCGCAUGUGGGCAUCUUGGCACACGCAUACGCUUUGGAUAACUUUGUUAGUCAUGGAUUUGGUAAAGCCCAAGUGAGGGUGUGAGAAUUGGGCCAAGACCUAUUAUUAAAUCACUAAACAUGCAAACCAAUAUUCAUAACCUACAUUUAUAAAAGUAAUUGCUUCAAUAUUUGACAAAACUUAUUAAUUGUUCAGCACAUGGCCGACAUUAAACUCCAAUCAACACCUAGUUGCAUGUGAAUUUUUAUGUAUUGCAUUAGAUGGGCCACACCUGUGUCAAAGGUUUAUCGGACCAAACCCAAACCGAGCCCACCUUUCCCCCUAUUAUGUACGUGCAUCAUGAUGUAAAAGAUCCCACAACACCUUUGCAAACCCUACGGCAAUCGGCAACAAUCAGUAGCAGCUUCCUCCACCAUCACGCACACUACCUCUCGUCCUUCUCUCUCCCUUGGCAACUGGAGCACAUCACCACUCCUCCGUCACCGAUCGCCGGACGUGAUUGAUUAACUGA